Molecule: long non-coding RNA, 6098 nt
Organism: Astatotilapia calliptera (eastern happy)
Lineage: Eukaryota; Metazoa; Chordata; Actinopteri; Cichliformes; Cichlidae
Source: Ensembl
UCUCCAUGGCGUUUAACCAACCCCAGGAGAAGGACUAAAACUUUCCCUUAUUAAACCCGGAUGUGAUAUGGAUGAAAUCACGCCACUUCCACAAAGAGAAGCUGUUUUAUCCUAGAGGAUGCGGACUAUUUGAAACCGCUGCGGCUCAGCCAGAAUUCGUGAAAAAGAUCAUUCCCAAUUGAACCCACUACAAACCUUAACGGAGGAAGAAGAUGCAGUCCUGUACAUUGAUGAAUGGACAACACCAGCAGAUUAGACAAGCCUCUCAGCCCUCGCAAGCUGCUCCUUAUCAUGCCCAUGAUGGAACAAGAAAUCUGCAAUCUUGGACUCCAAAACAAAGCAUUCACUAUCAAGCAAGAAACCUAGGAGUGCAAAAUGCACACGCUGAACAUUUCCCUUUGCACAAUGGAGCUUAUUCUAACAGACAAAUGUCAAAUUUGCAGACUUCUGCAGGAACUUAUCAGGAGGUUUCUUCUCAGCAGAAUGGUGGAGGCAAUAAAAACAGUUAUUUUUCUGGUAUGUUAUUUAACUAUAUUCAAAAUGUAUCAGCUAAUAAGCAAAGUGGAAACCCAUCUUUGCCAGCAUCUGGAUUUCAGAUUCCCACUCUGCAAGACUGUGAUCAGAAUUCAUCAACUCAGAGUCCACCUAACCAGAUGAACUCAAACACUACAUAUCCCCAGCAAGGCAUGUCCACUCAUUGGAAAGAGCCACUGGUUGUUAAUGAGAGACAAAUGAUUGGAACACAGGAUAGAACUGUGACUAAUAUCCAGCAUGUCAGUGUUCAGCAGGGCAUGCAACAGAAUGUGAAUGGAGACUUGACAAAACCCAUUUCAGCGUACACUACACCAACUACCUCAUUUCCACCUGAACGUGGUUUAUGUACCAGCACUAUGAUGUCUGGCUCAGAACAGACUGUGUACCUUGUUUCGAACAAUCAGGUUCAAAGACAAAGCGGCACUCAGCAUGGAUUCUCUCCUGUCAACUCACAGAGUUACAAUAUGGGAACCUCUCAGACUUCAGGAAACAGUAACAUUGCAACAUAUCCACCAUCAAGUGCACAGAAUUCUUACUUUUCCAGCACCAGCCACAAAACUCAGCAACACUCGGCUCAGCACCAAUUAAGAAACAACAAUGGGAUCAAGACUGCCACCUACAGUAACUCAAAUUUUUAUAAAAAGUAUGAAAAUAUUAAUUACUCUGCAGAAAUGAGAGGGCGUCAGAUAAAAACUUAUAAACAACAGAAAGUGAUCAGGCACUCAUUAAGUGCAGAUGGUUUAAAUAAUUCAUGCACUCCUGGGUUUGAUGGUUGUCGUCCUCCUCCACCGUACAGCUAUGCAAAUCACAGACAGCAGCAGUAUGUCAGAACGACCACAAUGGUCUCGUCUAAUCAAUCUAAUAUUCAACCUGGGACUUCGGCUACCCGUAAAAAUUAUAGUAACUUGAAUUCCAUCAAGUUAUUACCCGGGCAUUCUGGACAGUCUUUACCUCAAAGCACUCAAAAUGUAAUGUCAAGAACACAGCACGCUGUAAGUACACCCCAUCAGCAAACCUGUGUACCUAACGGUUUCCACAAAUCUGCUGCAGGAAAUGAAAGAAGCCCAAGUAACGAAAUUCAUCCUAAAAAGAACUGUAGCUUAAUUGAAUUGUUGCUUUGUUCAUCCCUGCUGCCGGAAUCUGUUGACCGCAAGACACAAUCAUCAGUAGCAAGCAGUUUUGAGAUGCUGUCAUCAGUCCAGUUAAAUGACAGCUCCAUUCACUCAUCACCUGGAAAUGCCAGCACCAAAGCUAUUGCUGUUGUACAACCACUGCCAUCACUGGAAGGUCAGCUUCACAAUGACCAUGCUUCUUCUGAUUCCACAGCAGGAGACUCUUUAAACAACCCUAAGGAAACUUUUGUUUUAGAUACCACAGCAAUUAACAAAACGCUGCCAUCUUCAGAGUCAGGGACACAAAACACAGGAAAACAACCUGAACUGGAUGUUAAUGUUCAAAAUUCAAUUCCAUCCCAAGAAUCAGUAUGCCAAAAUUCUCCUGAAGACCAAAGUGGGAUCCAGACACUUUCAACAUCACCCGUUUCUGAUCUUUCCGCACUCCCAACAUCCCCAUGGACAUUAUUGGCACUAACGAAGUUGAUAAAAGAUGCAGAAAAGAAUCAGAAAGAGCUCAGCGAUUUGAAAGAAUUACACACUGCACAAAAAAUUAUAGACCUGUUUUGGGAGGGAAAACUUGAAACACUGCAAAUGUACUCAUGCAAGGUAGGCUUUCUCAAGGUUUUAGAAGUUAAAGAAUUCUGCCAAAAACAUUUAACAGCCAACUCUGUUGUACUGUUGCAGGUAGAUGGCAAUUUUGAGGAGCAAAUGGAAAGCUACCAUGUCCUCAAAGACAAUGAAGUAUUUUCAGAAUUGCCUUACAAAUCAUCAUGGUUAAAUCUAAAUGAGCAGUUGGAUGAAAUAGACAAAGAAUUUGGUUUCCCAUUGUCUCUGAAACAUCACACUUCAUUGCUUGAGAGUGAUGGCCAGAAAGAUCAGAUGCACAUCAACAACAGUGAUCCUGCAAUUAUGAGUAAAGUGCCAAGCAAGAUCUUGCCAUCAACACAUUUUGAACCCGUUGAUUCAAAUGAAGGAAAAGAAGCCACCACACUCAAACCCCCCUCCAUUCAAACUCCCUCCUCUAAUCAGACAGAUGAUGCCAGUGACCCAUGUUUGUCCCUGAAAAUCCAAGUUAUGCCUCCAGAAGAAGCCAAACGUUACCAUGAGCAAAGCGAAAAUGAGAUGCCACAAAGUAUGGAUGCAGAGAGGGUCGUAAGUAGUUCCACGGAGAGUGAGACACCUGAUAAUACAGAGUCCACAUCGUGGGAAUCAAAAUUGGAAACUGUGGAAAUUGGCAUAAGUCAGUCGCUUUGCUGUCUUACAAAGCUGUUGAAAAUGACUAUAGGAUCAAGUACAUCUUAUGAUUGUAAAUGCCACAGCCAGAAAGAACAAAAGUUUGGAAAAGGGUUAAAAAAUACCAGUGAUAGUGGCGAAACAGUUGUACUAAAGCACAAUAACCAGCUUGGGAAGGAUCCAGUAAAGGACAAGGAGAACACUGAUGAUCAAGUUGUGACAUUUAGUGGUUCUGAGCUUUGCAGCUUUCUUGGUCAAACCAUAGAUUUGACUGAAGUUGAUGACCAACCUCAAUUGCCUUCUGAACAAAAUUCUAAGAACCACUCCAAAAUAGCCAAUACCAGUCAUUCAGGUAUUAUAAUUAUAAGUGAUGAAGAUGAAGAUCUCUCCAGUGGUGAAAAUGAAAUUCUUAGCCAGAAGACAGAUCUUGCCAUAAAGAUGUCUGAACCUUACGAUAAGUGUGGACAAGAACAACCAACGUCUACAGCAUCGAGUCUGUCAGGUGCCUCAGUCAGUACUAACAAAGCUGAAACUGAAAAGUUCUGCAGCACUGAGACUGAGAUUGCCAUCCAGAUCCUGGAUCAUGACAGGAGUUGUGAAGAAGCUUUAGAUGUGCCAGUGUCACCUUUGGAAACCAAAGAGCAAUCUCAAAUCUGUGCUGAAGGUGACUUUAAAGUAUCUGUCAAGCAUAAAAAAAUCAAAAGAAAACACAAGAGACUCGAAUGGGAUGAUGAAUUUGGUCCACCCCAAAAGGAAUCAAAGAAAUGCAACUUGCCUGUUGAUCUUAAUUUAGAAAAUGCCCUUGAUGAUGUUUCAAAAUGUGAAAAGGAGCCUGCUGUUGAAGCUGAAGCUCUCAAUAUAGACUCAAAAAGAACUGCAGAACUGGUGCUGUUUGGCUCAGCUCAACAAGACAAGUGUGCUUUAACUGGCAGCAGAAAAGCCCAUUUCCGUUUUGUAAAGGGUGCAUCUAAGGCAGCACACCUGAGGCCUCCAGAAGUUCUUACUGUCAAUCUCAACCCUUUGAGUAGCAAGUCCAGUGACAUGGUGUACAAGAGGAAUUAUUCAGUAAAACAGCUAAUUCAUGACAAAUGGUGGAGAAGUUUUCAACAGACUAAAGCUAGUCACAAAAAAACCCGUAAACAUCGUUCUUACUCUGUUGCCGGGGGUAUCUUGAUGAAACGAGAUGGAAUUAAGGAAUCCCGGAGUCUGAAGACGCUUGGAGAGGAGAAGAAGGAUAUCACUGCUGAUAAUAAGAGGUGUUCCUCUAAAAGUGAAAGCCAAAAUGUCAAACCUUGCCAGGAGCACAUAGUCUUGAGGUUCAGUGUUCUACCCAGUAACUUUGACCUCAAAGAUGGAUCCAGUGGCAGGAAGCAAUCCACCAAUCCCAUUUCAGGUAAAUACCAUAGAUAGAGGGGGUACCGUUAUUCUAAUAUUGCCCACAAUAAAGUUGAUUUGAUGAUGAUGAUGAUGAUGAUGAUGAUGAUUAUUAUCUAUUGAAAAGAAUGGAUCACAGAAGGCAGAUUUUUGGUUUAUUUUGGUAAAAACUGUGAUCUCUCCAGAUGGUGCAGACCCAUUCUUUUUGGUAAAGAUCCAAAUUUAUGAAGCUAAAAGUAUUCUUUAAAAAUUUAAAAUUUCAAUGCUUUAUUGUAAUUCACGUAUAACGCCUCAGUUUUGUUUUGUUUUUGUUUUUUUUGUUGUUUUUUUUUUGUUUGUUUUUUAUUGCAUGUUAGAAGGGUGAUUGGCAAAUAUAUUGUUGGAGUGUCCACAUAAAGCAGGGACAUUCAACAUAAAUUGACCCAGAAAAGACUAAUGACAUCUCUGCUCCUCGAUGGGUCAUAGUUGGAGUGGGAUACUGGUGUCUUGCAGAUUAGAGUGGUGGUAAACAUGGGAACUGGAAAGUACUGUUUGUUUUUUCUUUUUCUUUGAGACGGACAACAAAAUUUAUUUUAAGGAAAUUUUGAAUCUGUCUUUCCAGAAGAGCCAGAGAAAGAGCAGAGCGCUGCUACAGCUGCUGCAAAACCGAAAGGUAAAUGGAGUUCGAGUCUGCAGAAGAAUCGACCUCGACCUAUUCCCAAGACCUUCAGUCUCUUCCACGAGUAUCAGAAGAAAUACAAGGAGCGCUCUCACUCAAAAGAUUAAUAAUGUGAAAGAUGUCUCUUCUCAGGGAAUACUUUUUUUUUUUUUUUUUUUUCCAUUUAAGACAUUUAGUACAAAGAUUCUGACUAAAAUUAUGCCUUUGUGUUUUUUUCUGCAGUGUAUAUACAAGCAAUACAUUAAGGCUGUGCAACCUUUUGUUGUUUACAUGCCUGUAAAAAGCAUUACAGUCAUGGAGCAGGUGUAGUUACUGACUUGUGGGAUGUGGGAACUUGGCAGCCUUUACAAAUUUGUUCAAGUGAUGACAUUCUGUUCGUCAUUGAUUAUUAUUGUGUCACUGCUCCUUGUCGGUUCACCACUGUACUCGCGACAGACAUGAAAGGAAUACAUGGUAUUUGCUGUCGGUGCAGUUCUGUUUAAUGAGCUGAGAAGCUCUGAAGAUGCAUGACACUGCAUAGUUUGUCUUGUGUCUGUGCAUCAGAGAGUGCAUGCAGACUUUAGAUGGUAAGUCCACAUGUUCAGAGCCAUGUUCAAAUUAACAAGUGAUAUCCAUGAAAGGGGGUGUAAGUCUAAAAUCUUUGUUGUUGUUUUUUUGACAAAAAACUUGACUUGUAACAUUUGCAUUGUGAGUUUUUUACUGUUUUUCUACACUUUCAGUAUUUGUACUCUAACCAUUUUUUAAAAUUUUUUUAUUAUUGUUUCUACGAUUAAAUUAUCCAUUUUUAAUGUGGUUUUGUCUUUGUCUAAACUAAUAGUAGGUAUUAUAAUUGAUUUAUAAGCUGCAAUAGUUGUUUAGCAUUAAAGGGAAAUGGCGUAGUUCCUGGAAAUAAUCUGAAACAAACCCAAAUUACAGGAAGGUGAAAUGCCCAUUAACGGUUUUAUUCUGCUCCUUGCAACGAUCCUCUUUGUUGAUCUUAUUGUAUUGUUUGAUAUCAAAUCAAAAAUGUUUAUGCAUGUUUUUACUUUAUAGCAGUUUUCUGGAAAUUACCCCAUAUGGAAAAGAAAUAGUAAAAACUUAUAUGAUUUACUCAUGAAAGUGGCCACUUUCUCAUUACUUUCAUAUGUUGUUUUAGUAAGUAUCCAAAACAUACAAGUUUCAUUUAUAUAAUUUUUCAAGGGAUC